AUGGGAAAAGAGUUGGCCCAUAACAGAAAACCAAAAAGAACCAUGUUCAGGGCUCAUAUUUCUAAGAUCACAUCUAGCACAAAAAAUAUGGGAGGCAAAAAAUACACAUCUAAUCUGCAUGUAUGCAAUGGCAGGGUUGCAGAACAAUCAUCUAGACAUUUUACUGAUCCAACAUACGAUUUUAGGGUGCAUAAUAAUUCAACCCAGCUACCAGUAUGCCAACAAUCAGCACUUUCUCAGAGAAAAAAAACACACCAAAGACUUCAGUAUUAUUGCAAAGGGAGGAUUGUCAUAAACGUCAUAAGCAACUAUUGA
This 315-nucleotide ribosomal RNA is filed under the name Triticum aestivum (bread wheat). RNAcentral describes it as "partial small subunit ribosomal RNA". The record is from RNAcentral. Lineage: Eukaryota; Viridiplantae; Streptophyta; Magnoliopsida; Poales; Poaceae.